UCUCUUCGGAGAUGGAAUUCUUAACCUAGUGGCGGACGGGUGAGUAAUGCGUGAGCAACCUGCCCUUCAGAGGGGGACAACAGUUGGAAACGACUGCUAAUACCGCAUAAGCGCACGGUUCCGCAUGGAACAGUGUGAAAAACUCCGGUGGUGUGAGAUGGACCCGCGUCUGAUUAGCCAGUUGGCGGGGUAACGGCCCACCAAGGCGAUGAUCAGUAGCCGGUCUGAGAGGAUGAACGGCCACAUUGGGACUGAGACACGGCCCAGACUCC
RNAcentral lists this ribosomal RNA (272 nucleotides) under uncultured Eubacteriales bacterium. Its description in RNAcentral is "uncultured Clostridiales bacterium partial 16S ribosomal RNA". It matches the Rfam family "Bacterial small subunit ribosomal RNA", at positions 75 to 339 of the family's 1533-position model. Lineage: Bacteria; Bacillati; Bacillota; Clostridia; Eubacteriales. The record is from RNAcentral.